Long non-coding RNA from Xenia sp. Carnegie-2017, 420 nucleotides. RefSeq lists it as uncharacterized. The transcript is spliced from 2 exons. The record is from RefSeq and is a predicted model, not a curated record. NCBI's taxonomy places the organism in Eukaryota, Metazoa, Cnidaria, Anthozoa, Malacalcyonacea, Xeniidae.
CAAUAGCUACAAACGCAUAAACGGUGUAUAAUUUUACAAAUAUUUCUGUUCUCAUUUAAUCCUGUCCAUCCUCGGUAAGGAAAUGAAAAGUGUUUUGCUGUUGAUGAUUCUGCUUUUGUGUUUAACACACACGUUGUCGUGGAAUGAUGGUUUGUGGGGCAGAGAGCUGCGCAAGAGAAUGAGACCAAACUAUGAUGAUGAAGUAAUGAAACUAGCUGAAGAAAUUAUCAAUCGACAACAUUUUUUAGGAAUAGCAGCAAAAAAAUUUGCCAAAAAAAGAAAAAAUGAAGAAGCAGUAAAAACACAAUAAUGUAGCAACUAAAAGUGGGUCAUGUAAAAGUUGAAAUAUUAUAAUAGAUUUGGAUAUGCUUGUAAAGAAACAUUAAUCGAGAUAAAUAAGCAGUUUCCAUGCAUUAAAAA